Molecule: ribosomal RNA, 305 nt
Filed under: uncultured bacterium
Lineage: Bacteria
Description: bacterial SSU rRNA
Rfam family: Bacterial small subunit ribosomal RNA
Source: RNAcentral
GCCUACGGGGGCAGCAGUGGGGAAUAUUGCGCAAUGGGCGAAAGCCUGAUGGAGCAACGCCGCGUGGGUGAAGAAGGUCUUCGGAUCGUAAAACCCUGUUGUUAGAGAAGAAAGUGCGUGAGAGUAACUGUUCACGUUUCGACGGUAUCUAACCAGAAAGCCACGGCUAACUACGUGCCAGCAGCCGCGGUAAUACGUAGGUGGCAAGCGUUAUCCGGAUUUAUUGGGCGUAAAGGGAACGCAGGCGGUCUUUUAAGUCUGAUGUGAAAGCCUUCGGCUUAACCGGAGUAGUGCAUUGGAAACUG